This 231-nucleotide ribosomal RNA is filed under the name uncultured bacterium. RNAcentral describes it as "partial 16S ribosomal RNA". It matches the Rfam family "Bacterial small subunit ribosomal RNA", at positions 99 to 334 of the family's 1533-position model. The record is from RNAcentral.
CGGACGGGUGAGUAAUGUCUGGGAAACUGCCUGAUGGAGGGGGAUAACUACUGGAAACGGUAGCUAAUACCGCAUAACGUCGCAAGACCAAAGGGGGGACCUUCGGGCCUCUUGCCAUCGGAUGUGCCCAGAUGGGAUUAGCUAGUAGGUGGGGUAACGGCUCACCUAGGCGACGAUCCCUAGCUGGUCUGAGAGGAUGGCCAGCCACACUGGAACUGAGACACGGUCCAG